This 536-nucleotide ribosomal RNA is filed under the name uncultured bacterium. Its description in RNAcentral is "bacterial SSU rRNA". It matches the Rfam family "Bacterial small subunit ribosomal RNA", at positions 8 to 526 of the family's 1533-position model. The record is from RNAcentral.
AGAGUUUGAUCAUGGCUCAGAGCGAACGUUAGCGGCGGGCUUAACACAUGCAAGUCGAGCGAGAACGGGGCUUCGGCUCCUAGUAAAGCGGCGGACGGGUGAGUAACACGUAGGUAAUCUUCCCUCGAGCGGGGGACAACGUUCCGAAAGGGACGCUAAUACCGCAUACGUUUCCGAAGGCUCUGGCCUUCGGAAGGAAAGCUAGGUAGCAAUAUCCGGCACUCGAGGAGGAGCCUGCGUCGCAUCAGCUAGUUGGUGGGGUAACGGCCUACCAAGGCGAAGACGCGUAGCUGGUCUGAGAGGAUGAUCAGCCACACUGGGACUGAGACACGGCCCAGACUCCUACGGGAGGCAGCAGUGGGGAAUAUUGGACAAUGGGCGCAAGCCUGAUCCAGCCACGCCGCGUGAGUGAUGAAGGCCUUCGGGUCGUAAAGCUCUGUGGGGAGGGACGAACCGCUGUCGGUUAAUACCCGGCAGCAUGACGGUACCUCCUUAGCAAGCACCGGCUAACUUCGUGCCAGCAGCCGCGGUAAUAC